RNAcentral lists this ribosomal RNA (329 nucleotides) under uncultured eukaryote. RNAcentral describes it as "partial 18S ribosomal RNA". It matches the Rfam family "Eukaryotic small subunit ribosomal RNA", at positions 1470 to 1796 of the family's 1831-position model. The record is from RNAcentral.
CCCUUAGAUGUUCUGGGCCGCACGCGCGCUACACUGACGAUGGCAACGAGUUUUUCCUUCGCUGAAAGGUGUGGGUAAUCUUUUGAAACAUCGUCGUGCUGGGGAUAGAUCAUUGCAAUUUUUGAUCUUGAACGAGGAAUUCCUAGUAAGCGCGAGUCAUCAGCUCGCGUUGAUUACGUCCCUGCCCUUUGUACACACCGCCCGUCGCUACUACCGAUUGAAUGGUUUAGUGAGGACUCCUGAUUGGCGCCGCCGCCCCGGCAACGGAGCAGCGGACUGCCGAAAAGUUGUUCAAACUUGAUCAUUUAGAGGAAGUAAAAGUCGUAACA